CAGUCGCCGCGGUAAUACGAAGGGUGCAAGCGUUACUCGGAAUUACUGGGCGUAAAGCGUGCGUAGGUGGUGGUUUAAGUCCGUUGUGAAAGCCCUGAGCUCAACCUGGGAAUUGCAGUGGAUACUGGGUCACUAGAGUGUGGUAGAGGAUAGUGGAAUUCCCGGUGUAGCGGUGAAAUGCGUAGAGAUCGGGAGGAACAUCAGUGGCGAAGGCGGCCAUCUGGGACAACACUGACGCUGAGGCACGAAAGCGUGGGGAGCAAACAGGAUUAGAUACCCGCGUAGUCCCUGUCUCUUAUAC
This 301-nucleotide ribosomal RNA is filed under the name uncultured bacterium. Its description in RNAcentral is "partial 16S ribosomal RNA". It matches the Rfam family "Bacterial small subunit ribosomal RNA", at positions 509 to 807 of the family's 1533-position model. The record is from RNAcentral.